Molecule: long non-coding RNA, 685 nt
Organism: Bolinopsis microptera
Lineage: Eukaryota; Metazoa; Ctenophora; Tentaculata; Lobata; Bolinopsidae
Exons: 3
Source: RefSeq, a predicted model, not a curated record
AGCACUGCAGACGAAGGAGAACUGGAGACAGUAUCGCCACUGGUCAGUACCUAUUGGUGACCCUACUGUAAUGGUAACGUUCGGACUUCCCUCUCAAUCCUACCCGAAAACUACAGAACAUGGAGGAACCUACAGUUUGGAAACGAAAAGCAUUCCUUGUUGAGUUGUUGUACCACACGUUCUUGUAGUUCUAGUAAUGAGAGUUCCUGGCACGAAAACCUGGGACAGUUCCUUUUGCCCUUCACCCUCUUGGAUUUGGUUGUCUCUACCGUUCAUUCACACAACGAAACAGUCAUGCUGAUGGAGGAGGAGUAGAAAUUAAAACUCUCCCGGCCAACGUUAAUUUUUGCCACCCCUGGUUUUUAGAAAAGACAAGCAAUUAAGAUAUCGGGAUAUUAUGUGCAAGUUAUUAUUAACAUUUAUUUUGCAGUUGUUAAUCAUAAUGCAACGUCCAAGCUAUAAACAUAUUUGUAAUUUCUUUCCGACAUGAAAAUCACGGCUAGUUUAGCGUUUGAUAAUGGAUAGUGCUUUAAUUUGAAAAUGAAAUCAUUCUAGAUAUAAAAUUUGCCGAGUCUAAAUCCUAUUUUUAAUACGAAAAAAGUGUAUCCGCAUUACCUAUCUUUGUUGAUUACGAAAGUGAUAAUGUAAAUAUCAAACUUUAAUUAUUUUUAUAAGAAGAAAUGCU